AUCCCACCGAGGCCACCAUAGACCAGCCAGCCCUCAGCGUACAUGCCAGCUAAUUACAGAUGCAGGAGCAAACCCCUGGCCCAUACAUCAAUUUUAAUGUCAUUGAAUACAGAGAACAAAUCUCAUUCACUUUGGUAUCGGCUGGAGUCAACAAACAUUUAAAAAUCAUUUACUGCGUCUGAUUUUGGGUAUGUUGAAUUGGUGACGUCUGAGUUGCUUCUGGUCUAUCCUGAUAGAAACAUACAGUAAACAGAGAAAAAAAAGGAUCUCAGGUGAGAUGAUGUAUGGGAAUGCUCAGCAUACAGAAUGAAUGGAUAAGAGGCCUGAAAACAUAAUCCUGUAAACAACCAUAUUGAAAGAGAAGACAGAAGACAUCAAACAGAUUUUGAGUCUUGCUCUAUGGCCCAGACUGGAGUGCAGUGGCGUGAUCUCAGCUCACUUCAACCUCCACCUCCCGGGUUCGAGAGAGAUUCUCCUGCCUCAUCCUCCCGAGUAGCUGGGAUCACCGGCGCCCACAACCACACCCGGCUAAUUUUUGUACUUUUAGUGGAGACAGGGUUUCACCAUGUUGGCUAGGCUGGUCACAAACUCCCGACCUCAGGUUAUCCAUCUGCCUUGGCCUCCCAAAGUGCUGGGAUUACAGGCGUGAGCCCCCGCACCUGGCCAAGAUCAGCUAGAUUUUGGAAGCAUUGCCUUCUACAGAAUCCACAGUAGUCCGAAGCUCUUCUACGGUUUUU
RNAcentral lists this long non-coding RNA (737 nucleotides) under Homo sapiens (human). RNAcentral's name for it is "HSALNT0031760". Lineage: Eukaryota; Metazoa; Chordata; Mammalia; Primates; Hominidae. The record is from RNAcentral.